GCGCCUUCCCCACAGUCAUCCGGUACUCAUUUUCCGAAAGGAAUGCCUCUGGCCUCUUCUCCAGUCCAGCAACCUCUCGCGGCGUCGCAUCCUGGAGCUCCACGCGAGUCUCACUAUGAGCAUGCCGCGAUCGGUUCCGCGUCUGGUUGCAGCCCCCCCGGUGGGCGGGCAACAUGGACUGGAGUUGAGAAUGGGUAUUGGAACUUAACCCUAAGUAAUCGUUGGUUUUUUUCAAGUUUUGUAGAUAUGUUGCUCGGCUUGUUUACUACGCCUCUUGGUUCGAAACUUGUUAAGCUGAAAAGUGGUGCAACAGAAGAUCAAGAGGCCGAAACACAAGCUGGGGAGCCCAGAGUUUUCGGACACAAAAGAGAUGUUCCUAUGAGCCAUUCUGGUAAUACCCUCCGCGAGGGAGCUCGUCAGGUUCAUCUGCUGGGCGUUAUACUCUGAUCAAGUCCCGACUGUUUCUUUGGUGCUCAAGCCAUUGGUA
This is a non-coding RNA of Pseudogymnoascus pannorum, 487 nucleotides long. The record is from Rfam. NCBI's taxonomy places the organism in Eukaryota, Fungi, Ascomycota, Leotiomycetes, Thelebolales, Thelebolaceae.